Molecule: ribosomal RNA, 778 nt
Filed under: uncultured Neocallimastigales
Lineage: Eukaryota; Fungi; Neocallimastigomycota; Neocallimastigomycetes; Neocallimastigales
Description: partial large subunit ribosomal RNA
Rfam family: Eukaryotic large subunit ribosomal RNA
Source: RNAcentral
UACGACUACAUAUCAGGCAUAUCAAUAAGCGGAGGAAAAGAAACUAACAAGGAUUCCCUUAGUAACGGCGAGUGAAGCGGGAAGAGCUCAAAUUUGAAAUCUUCAAGGUUUUACCUUGACGAAUUGUAGUUUAAAGAAGUGUUUUCUGUUGAAGUUUCGGUAAAAGUUCUUUGGAAUAGGACAUCAUAGAGGGUGAGAAUCCCGUAUUUGACCAUUACUUCCAGCGUUGUGAUACACUUUCAAAGAGUCGGAUUGUUUGGGAAUGCAGUCCAAAAUGGGUGGUAAAUUUCAUCUAAAGCUAAAUAUUGGCGAGAGACCGAUAGCGAACAAGUACCGUGAGGGAAAGAUGAAAAGAACUUUGAAAAGAGAGUUAAACAGUACGUGAAAUUGUCAAAAGGGAAGCGUUUGACACCAGUGUUGUUUUCUCGAAAAUCAAUUAAAAAGUAUGGGAUUUUGUAUUGUUAAUGACCUUAUCAGCUUACGGUACUUUUUUCUUAUUCUCUUUUAAUGCACUUUUCGUCUAACAAGUCAACAUCAAUUUCUUUUGUUGUAAAAGAGUCAUUGGAAGGUGGCUUUCACUUCGGUGAAAGUGUUUAUAGCCUUUGGCUUCUGCAAUCGGAGAGAUUGAGGUCUGCAGCGUAGAUCCUUCGGGGUUAGAUACGUUAGAUGCUAAGUUAUAGCUUUUUCAUAGACAACAUGUUGACUAUGAUUAAUCAUGUAGCUUACUCGCUUAUGCUAUUUUACCUACGCUUAGGAUGUUGAUCUCUCACAGUCGAGC